RNAcentral lists this ribosomal RNA (303 nucleotides) under uncultured bacterium. RNAcentral's name for it is "partial 16S ribosomal RNA". It matches the Rfam family "Bacterial small subunit ribosomal RNA", at positions 507 to 807 of the family's 1533-position model. The record is from RNAcentral.
AGCAGUCGCCACGGUAAUACGGAGGGUGCAAGCGUUGUCCGGAUUUAUUGGGUUUAAAGGGUGCGUAGGCGGCUGUUUAAGUCAGCGGUGAAAGACUCCGGCUCAACCGGAGCAGUGCCAUUGAUACUGGAUAGCUUGAGUGUUGGAGGGGUACAUGGAAUUGAUGGUGUAGCGGUGAAAUGCAUAGAUACCAUCAGGAACACCGAUAGCGAAGGCAUUGUACUGGCCAACAACUGACGCUGAGGCACGAAAGCAUGGGGAGCGAACAGGAUUAGAUACCCGCGUAGUCCCUGUCUCUUAUAC